GGAAAAAAAACAAGUCAGGGCAUCUAAAAAUCAACCACAGCUGGCGCACCUGAAAAGGGAAGCGUGGGAGGGAGAAAACUUAAAAUGUGUGGCAAUGUUCGCAUCAGUGGAUAACAAGAAUUGAAGAAAGAGCACGCAACUUUUGUUUACUCCUACGAUCAUCUUCACAAAGACAAAACAUGUACUUUAAUAGAACAGAAAGAGUAUUUCUGCAGAUUUUACUUCUUAUUGCGUUCAUCUCCAUAAUUUCAGAAUGCAAGGGUUUGACUUUUAAACCUGCUAAGGAAACCACCAUCAGGAUCAUCAACUCUAAGAACAUGGAUUGCAAAAUGUGCAAAAAUUCAGCUAAACCUUCCCAACAACAAUGUAAAGACUCCAUAACAUUUGAUAUAAACAUCAAAGUGGAGAUCGAGAUUAAAUGCAAGAAAUCUCAAGAUCUACCGACACUGGAAAUCAAGCGCAAUAUAGCAUGUAGCCAGACAUCAUGUGACACGGUCUCCCAGGUUUAUAAAGAAUUCUCAGGUUUAGAGAAAUACCGUCGCAGGUUUACCUGGAAUAUUAGUUCUUCAUCAACAAACUCCUUAUCGAUCAGUUUUGAGGGAGGUCUCCAACAGAUUGGUAUGGAAAAACAUGUCCUGAUAAACACACCUUCACUCUCCAAGACAAAGGAGCUACGCUGGAGAAAUACUGUUCCAAAGGGCCCAACACGGUUCCAAUCAGGAAAAAUCAGAGCUUCUCUCUGGAGCUCCCAGCAGGCCAGAGACUAAAUAAUUUCUCCUUUGAGGUCUCUCUGCAGAAGAAAUCUGAAAGCAAACCUCUUGUGAUCCCAAUACUUUGUGCUCUGGUCGGUCUACUCAUCAUUUUCAUCAUUUUGCUGCUGAUGGUUUACAUAAGGCUUAAGAAGAAUAAUAGAGAAGCUGUUCCAGAAGUGUCAGUCUACAAUUCAGGUAACGACCACGUCCAGCCAGCACCCAACAGGCUACCAGUAGGCUCUGAGGAGGAUGAACAUUUGUAUUCCAUGAUCGAUGAGUCACUAAUCUACUCACACCUCCUGAAACGGCAAGGAAACGGUUUUUAUGAUGAGUAUGAAACUUUCCAGUCUGUUGCCACUGACUGCAGAAGGCCAACAAUCCAUGUGAAAGCUGGUGAUGAAGGCACCGUGUCAAUCUUCCAAAAUCAACAAGGUCCUCCACCUCCUAACAGACCUCCGAGUUACCUGGAGCUGCUGGGGGACCGUCCUCCGACUCCUGGAACACAUUUAAAGCCCAAGGAAGCCGAGUGAACACAUGAUUUGGUUCAGUUUCCAGUUGGACUUUGACAUUUCCCUGACAUGCCUGUCAGUCUUUUUGAGCUUUCUGCUCC
Molecule: long non-coding RNA, 1362 nt
Organism: Cyprinodon tularosa
Lineage: Eukaryota; Metazoa; Chordata; Actinopteri; Cyprinodontiformes; Cyprinodontidae
Exons: 5
Source: RefSeq, a predicted model, not a curated record